This is a long non-coding RNA of Chelonia mydas (Green sea turtle), 686 nucleotides long. RefSeq lists it as uncharacterized. The record is from RefSeq and is a predicted model, not a curated record. Lineage: Eukaryota; Metazoa; Chordata; Testudines; Cheloniidae. The transcript has 2 exons.
ACAUUGGUGGAGUUACCUCUCCUGCUGUGGUUUAAGAACUCUUGACAUGGCAUAGAGGUAUCUGUUCUGCCCUGCAGAACUUAGACCCUGUAUAGACAAGAAACAAACAGAGUAGGAUGGGAAACAGAGGAUGGGAAAGCCCAGUUCCUCAAUGUUAUGUAGGCUUCUAACUUCCAUUGAUUUCAGUAGAAGCUAGGAGCCUAAAUACCUUUGAGGAUCUGGGCUGAAGUGACUUGCCCAGGGUAACAUAACAGCUCUGUGGCAGAAUUUCAAAUAAACUCAGUCUCCUGAUUCCUAAUCCAAUGUCUUAACCCAGUAGACCACACUGCCUCUCAUUAUUUAAAAUUAUGAAGAGCUCCUUUUUAAAAAAAAAAAGAAAAAAUAUCUUUUUAAAAUCACUAAUCCAAUGAGUUUACAGAUUGUCUAUAGCCUUAAUUAAUCUGAUACUGUGGCAUGCAUAUUAAAAUAUUUGGAAAUAAUUUCCUUCAUUCUUUACCUGCCAGGUUUCAAGUGCUGGGUUCUCCGCCUUCCCUGGGGAUGCACAGAUAUAACAAAAGUUAGAAUCUGGUCAAUGGUACGCGGUAUGUAUAUGGUUAUAUUUUUCUUUUGCGGAAUGAAAAGAGCAAAUCUCCCUCCAUAACUGCUCUAUAGAUAUUCCCUUCUCAAUCCAGUUAGGCCCCCUGCAU